Molecule: ribosomal RNA, 1382 nt
Filed under: Engystomops pustulosus (Tungara frog)
Lineage: Eukaryota; Metazoa; Chordata; Amphibia; Anura; Leptodactylidae
Description: partial 16S ribosomal RNA
Rfam family: Bacterial large subunit ribosomal RNA
Source: RNAcentral
AGCUAAAGAUAUAGCCUUAUCAGAUUUAAUAAAAACACUCUUAUAUAUUUACUAAUUAAAGCAUUUACCUAACUCAGUAUAGGAGAUAAAAAAGUUUUUUAGCGCAAUAAAACUAGUACCGCAAGGGAAACAUGAAAUAGAAAUGAAAUAAAAAUUAAGCAUAAAAUAGUAGAGCCUUACCCUCGUACCUUUUGCAUCAUGAUUCAACUAGUUAAAUCAGACAAAAAGAAUUUUAGUUUGACCUCCCGAAACUAAGUGAGCUACUUCGAGGCAGUCUUAGGAACUAACCCGUCUCUGUUGCAAAAGAGUGGGAUGACCCCCAAGUAGAGGUGAUAGACCUAACGAACUUAGUGAUAGCUGGUUAUUUAGGAAAAGAAUGUAAGUUCAUCUAAAAAUUAAUUUAAUAAUAAAAAAUAAAUGUUUAAUUUUUAAGUUAUUCAAAUAAGGUACAGCCUAUUUGAAACAGGGUACAACCUACACUAAUGGGUAACUCAAUGAGAUUAAUAAUUAAGUGGGCCUAAAAGCAGCCAACUUUAAAAUAGCGUCAAAGCUUAUUUAUUAGCUCAUAUAAUUUCAUUAUUUUUAAUCAACCCUUUAUUAUUACUAAAUACUUCUAUAAGACUAUAGAAUUUUUUAUGUUGAAACUAGUAACAAGAAGUUAAACUUCUCCUUAAUGUGAGCAUAAAUCGGCCAGGAUAAACCACCGAUAAUUAACGCGCUGAAUAUAAAAUAACAACUUUUUCAAGAAAAACUUAUUUUACAACACGUUAACCUUACACCAGAACAUUAAAGGAAAGAUUAAAAGAAAAGGAAGGAACUCGGCAAACAUUAACCCCGCCUGUUUACCAAAAACAUCGCCUUCUGCUUAAUUAUAGAAGGUCCAGCCUGCCCAGUGAAUUAAUUCAACGGCCGCGGUAUCCUAACCGUGCGAAGGUAGCGUAAUCACUUGUUCUUUAAAUGAGGACUAGUAUGAAUGGCACCACGAAGGUUAUACUGUCUCCCAUUUCCAAUCAGUUAAACUAAUCUUCACGUGAAGAAGCGUGAAUAAUAAUAUAAGACGAGAAGACCCUAUGGAGCUUUAAAUAACUGCAACAUGUGUUUUCAUUAUUUAACUUCAUGAAAAAAUUUUUAUUUAAACACUUUGAUUGCUAAUUUUUGGUUGGGGUGACCGCGGAGCAUAAAAUAACCUCCACAAUGAAAGAAAAUUAUUUUCUAAACCUAGAGCUACAACUCGAAGUAUUAUUAAAUUAACAUCCUUUGAUCCAAUAUAUUGAUCAACGAACAAAGUUACCCUAGGGAUAACAGCGCAAUCUACUUCAAGAGCUCCUAUCGACAAGUAGGUUUACGACCUCGAUGUUGGAUCAGGGUGUCCUAGUGGUGCA